UGCUUAGGAAUCUGCCUAUUAGUGGGGGACAACAUCUCGAAAGGGAUGCUAAUACCGCAUACGUCCUACGGGAGAAAGCAGGGGAUCUUCGGACCUUGCGCUAAUAGAUGAGCCUAAGUCGGAUUAGCUAGUUGGUGGGGUAAAGGCCUACCAAGGCGACGAUCUGUAGCGGGUCUGAGAGGAUGAUCCGCCACACUGGGACUGAGACACGGCCCAGACUCCUACGGGAGGCAGCAGUGGGGAAUAUUGGACAAUGGGGGGAACCCUGAUCCAGCCAUGCCGCGUGGUGAAGAAGGCCUUAUGGUUGUAAAGCACUUUAAGCGAGGAGGAGGCUACUUUAGUUAAUACCUAGAGAUAGUGGACGUUACUCGCAGAAUAAGCACCGGCUAACUCUGUGCCAGCAGCCGCGGUAAUACAGAGGGUGCGAGCGUUAAUCGGAUUUACUGGGCGUAAAGCGUGCGUAGGCGGCUUAUUAAGUCGGAUGUGAAAUCCCCGAGCUUAACUUGGGAAUUGCAUUCGAUACUGGUGAGCUAGAGUAUGGGAGAGGAUGGUAGAAUUCCAGGUGUAGCGGUGAAAUGCGUAGAGAUCUGGAGGAAUACCGAUGGCGAAGGCAGCCAUCUGGCCUAAUACUGACGCUGAGGUACGAAAGCAUGGGGAGCAAACAGGAUUAGAUACCCUGGUAGUCCAUGCCGUAAACGAUGUCUACUAGCCGUUGGGGCCUUUGAGGCUUUAGUGGCGCAGCUAACGCGAUAAGUAGACCGCCUGGGGAGUACGGUCGCAAGACUAAAACUCAAAUGAAUUGACGGGGGCCCGCACAAGCGGUGGAGCAUGUGGUUUAAUUCGAUGCAACGCGAAGAACCUUACCUGGCCUUGACAUACUAGAAACUUUCCAGAGAUGGAUUGGUGCCUUCGGGAAUCUAGAUACAGGUGCUGCAUGGCUGUCGUCAGCUCGUGUCSUGAGAUGUUGGGUUAAGUCCCGCAACGAGSGCAACCCUUUUCCUUACUUGCCAGCAUUUCGGAUGGGAACUUUAAGGAUACUGCCAGUGACAAACUGGAGGAAGGCGGGGACGACGUCAAGUCAUCAUGGCCCUUACGGCCAGGGCUACACACGUGCUACAAUGGUCGGUACAAAGGUUGCUACACAGCGAUGUGAUGCUAAUCUCAAAAAGCCGAUCGUAGUCCGGAUUGGAGUCUGCAACUCGACUCCAUGAAGUCGGAAUCGCUAGUAAUCGCGGAUCAGAAUGCCGCGGUGAAUACGUUCCCGGGCCUUGUUCACACCGC
RNAcentral lists this ribosomal RNA (1281 nucleotides) under Acinetobacter baumannii. Its description in RNAcentral is "bacterial SSU rRNA". It matches the Rfam family "Bacterial small subunit ribosomal RNA", at positions 114 to 1393 of the family's 1533-position model. Lineage: Bacteria; Pseudomonadati; Pseudomonadota; Gammaproteobacteria; Moraxellales; Moraxellaceae. The record is from RNAcentral.